GUGGAUGUAGCUUAGCCCGGUUAAAGCGCCAGAUUGUGGCUCUGGAGACCGUGGGUUCGAAUCCCAUCUUCCACC
Transfer RNA from Clostridium sp. CAG:1013, 75 nucleotides. It matches the Rfam family "tRNA". Rfam says of the family: Transfer RNA (tRNA) molecules are approximately 80 nucleotides in length. Their secondary structure includes four short double-helical elements and three loops (D, anti-codon, and T loops). Further hydrogen bonds mediate the characteristic L-shaped molecular structure. tRNAs have two regions of fundamental functional importance: the anti-codon, which is responsible for specific mRNA codon recognition, and the 3' end, to which the tRNAs corresponding amino acid is attached (by aminoacyl-tRNA synthetases). tRNAs cope with the degeneracy of the genetic code in two manners: having more than one tRNA (with a specific anti-codon) for a particular amino acid; and 'wobble' base-pairing, i.e. permitting non-standard base-pairing at the 3rd anti-codon position. NCBI's taxonomy places the organism in Bacteria, Bacillati, Bacillota, Clostridia, Eubacteriales, Clostridiaceae. The record is from Rfam.